Molecule: ribosomal RNA, 503 nt
Filed under: uncultured bacterium
Lineage: Bacteria
Description: partial 16S ribosomal RNA
Rfam family: Bacterial small subunit ribosomal RNA
Source: RNAcentral
GAUGAACGCUAGCGGCAGGCCUAACACAUGCAAGUCGAGGGGUAGCAGGAUUAAGCUUGCUUAAUUGCUGACGACCGGCGCACGGGUGCGUAACGCGUAUGCAACCUACCUUAUACUGGGGUAUAGCCCGGAGAAAUUCGGAUUAAUCCCCCAUAGUACUAAUGAAUCGCAUGGUUUAUUAGUUAAAGCAUUGCGGUAUAAGAUGGGCAUGCGUCCUAUUAGCUAGAUGGUGAGGUAACGGCUCACCAUGGCUACGAUAGGUAGGGGGCCUGAGAGGGUGGUCCCCCAACCUGGUACUGAGACCCGGAACAGACUCCUACGGGAGGCAGCAGUGAGGAAUAUUGGUCAAUGGGCGCAAGCCUGAACCAGCCAUGCCGCGUGCAGGAAGAAUGCCCUAUGGGUUGUAAACUGCUUUUAUUUGGGAAUAAACCUCUUUACGUGUAGAGAGCUGAAGGUACCAAAUGAAUAAGCACCGGCUAACUCCGUGCCAGCCGCCGCCGUAA